This is a long non-coding RNA of Pteropus alecto (black flying fox), 3881 nucleotides long. RefSeq lists it as uncharacterized. The record is from RefSeq and is a predicted model, not a curated record. The transcript has 2 exons. NCBI's taxonomy places the organism in Eukaryota, Metazoa, Chordata, Mammalia, Chiroptera, Pteropodidae.
GCAAGUCCAGCCAGCGGAAGUGCGUUCCGACGCCCAGGGUGGCAGUGGAUGAGACUUCCUGUCUUGAGUGGCCAUAUCCUCCCCUGGCCGAAAGGAAAAUCCCAUUAGUGGCAACCUGAUAAAGCACAGAGGUUUCCCACUGAGAGAUUGUGAUGCAAACCCUAGCAGAGUGUUCUUUUCCCUCUGAGGUAGAUCACUAGAUUAGCUGUUAUAGCUCUUUGAUCUCAGGCAAGUUAAUUAGCUUAUUUGAUAUCCAUGAAAUGGACUUCCUUGUUUGUCCAAGAAAUAUUCCUUACAAACUAGCUAAGUACUGGGCACUGUGCUAAGUGCCGUGGGUGCUUCGGUGACUAUGAGAGAUGAGGUCCCCCGUCACUGAGGUGCUGGCAGUCCAAUGAGAGAACCAGACAAAGAUGGUGACUGCCAUAGUUACGUGCUAAGUGCGGUAAGCAGGAUGAAGGAAACACACAGGGCAGAGCAACAGAAAGCACAUGGGAAGAUGUGAGCGGCUGCAGAGGAUGAAGAGAGAAGGCUUUUCUCUGUGGAGGUGGCAGUCCAGCCAAGCCCCUUGAAGGAUCGAAGGGCAUCAGGGGAGGCAUUCUGUGCAGAUCUGAUGGCCGGUGUAGGAAUAAAAUAGCAUGCUCUCGCACUGGAAGGGAGCCAGCGUGGGCUGAGCCUGGGGGCUGAGGGAAUGGAGCACAAGAUGAGGGCGGAGUAGAAGCAGGAGCUGGAUCGUGCAGGCCUUGGGAGGAAGUCUAGCUUCCAUUUCAAGAGAAGUGGAAGCCACCGCUGGGCUUUAAGCAAGACUAUGCUUUUCAAAGAUCACUCUAUAGAGAUGGAUUGGAUGGAGCAUGAUUGAAAGCAGAUGACCAGGCAGCAGGAGCGAGGAGAAAGAGAGAGAGAGAGAGAGAGAGAGAGAGAGAGAGAGAGAGAGAGAGAGAGAGAAAGAGAGAGAGAGAAAGAAAGAGAGAAAGAAAUGGUGGCUUGGACUAAGAGAGAGGCAGUGGAUUGGGAGAGAGGAGAAGAGUCUAGAUAGUUUUUGGAACUUUAUAAUAUCUACUAUGCAGAAUUACAAGCAUUAGUGACACGUAUGUGAAACAUCUGGAACAGCGUCCAGCUCAUCAAAGAUGCUCAGUCAAUAAUAGUAGUUUCUGCUGCUAUUUAGAUUUGAAGAUGAGAUGACUGCAUAUUUGUCACUUCCGUCGAGGGUUGGCAAACAUUUUUCCGUAAAGGUCUAAACUUGCUUGGAAUGAAGAGACUGGGGUUUAUAACAUGACGUGAGUCCUAGUAACCUUAGCUCUGAUGUUAGAAAGAAAGGUUUCCAUGGCCUUGCUGACUCCAGCAUGUCUCUGCUGGCGGAGGACAGGACUGAUCAUUUGGUACAGGAGUCAAGGAGAGGGGCCUCGAAGCUGUGUUUUCAACUCAUGGACGUUUGUCCACCUAGACAGGUGGGUCUCAAUCUGGCUGGACAUUAGAGUCGCUUUGGGAGCUUAAAAGCACAAAACCAGACCAAACCAGAAACCUCUGCCUGGCGCCCUUGCCCAGAUAUCCUGCUUAAUUGUCAUUGUGCAUCUUAUGAAACCUCUCAAGUGAUCCUGACCUGCAGCCAGAGUUGAAACUCAGAGUUGAAACCACCGAGUUAAUUUGAACGCUUGUUUGGAUGGCUUUGGGGAAGUAGAAUGACAGCUAUUUGGGGGUUACUCACACCACCCCUUGACAUGUUCACUAGUCUAUGUCCUUGACAAGCCCCAAAGUCCCCUUAUCUCCUCUGAUUUCCCUGUUUGGAUUUGCUCUCUCUUCUGCAAACACAAGUCCAAUCUUUAUAUCUGAGCUUACCAUCCGCAGCAAGAGUACCUCUCUAGCAAUGCUGCUCAAACCUCCGAGAAAGGUUGAUUUGAUAAAGAUAAUUCACAUGAAGGUGUGGCCGAGGGUCCUGAAAGGUGAGAGUAAAUGGCGUACCUCUUACCUAAUGCAUCAGUGCUGAAUAGCCUAUUAAGGGCAGUAGUUUUGAGGGUCUGGAUCCUUUCUCUAUUUUGAAUCCUCCUUCCCUUGAAUCUACCAGGAAAUAAAUAGAAUAUGCGGAAUCAAGCCCCAUCCGUUCAUGCUGGUGCAGUGCAGCGCUGAGCAGAACUUCAUUAAUUUUAUUUGCGGUGCUGCCGUGGCAGGGAUCACGGUAGAUACAGAAUGCAUGAACUCUCUCUGCCUGCCUCGGAGCUGUAGUUAGCACCAUUUUGGUGCCCACAUCGCAUCGGAAGACUGUACCUUACACCUCAGCACCCUGCUAUCGGGGACAGAAUCUCGGGAGCUCAAAUUACUUUUCUAAUGGAAAAAGGAAUAUGGCUUCUGAAAGGUUCCAUUUACCACUUACAAUUAAUUAGCCACCUGAGUGAAGUCGGACUCUGUCAGUGUGCAGUUGCAGGGGAACCUUUUACACACACACACACACACACACACACACACACUAUGAACUUUGCAGAUGGACAGGCAGCCCAGGGCACACUUAUGGAGACAUCCAGCAUCGCUCAGUGAUUCAUUUCUGAUUCAUUCGGAAUAGGGAAGACUAUAAGAAUACUCUUUAUUUGUUUUUAGCUCCCAGAUCUUUUGACUUAUGACAGCACUUAAGACCACUUCAUACAGAGAAGAGAAAUUUUCCAGAGUAAAAAGCUGGGAAGUUGAACAAAUCAGAAGCCAGCCAGGCUUGCAAUUCUGAAUGAACAAGUGAUUUCCAAGUCUAGGCUGGAGUUUAGCAGUGUCCUGAAUGGGAACACAAAGUGCAUGCCCACUAGCCAUGUAAGCAGGACUAAAGGAACUCCAGCUGAGCGUGUGAAUUACUGAAUACGCAGGGCCUAUGAAAGUUUAACGAUGAAGAUUUAUAUUACUAGUUAAUAUUAUCGAAGUACCUCCUUGCACCAAGGACAACACAAGCACCUUUAUUACGUUGUGUCUUGUUAAAUUCACAUUGUAAUCCCUUUGGUAAUGUUCUCUUACCCACCUUUGACUGAUAAAGACAUGGAGGCUUAGACUAUUUAAGUAAGUUGCUAAAAAUCACAGUGCCGGAAAAGGAGAAAGUUGGGAAUUGAACCCAAGUCAAUUUGCUUUAUAGCCUCUAUUCAUAAUCAUUAUGAGAACGCAGACAAGCAAGAGCAUUGUGGAAAAAUAUAUUUAAAUACGAAGAUAUAUGUAUUUGUAUAUUUACAUGGGCAUCAGCUAAUUUAUCCAAAUAUCCCUUAGAGUUUCCCACUUUCUCUUCACUUGUUUCUUAUGAUUGAUAGUUGUUACCUGGUACCUUCUGACUCUGUAACUUUGUUACGAUCCUGGUCCUGCAUCAUACUUUCCUUUCCUUAGCAGAUUUUCUGCCACCCGCCUGUAGCCGAUGCUAAUUAUCACUGCAGUUUCAGUGAUGCAUUUUAUCAGUGGAAAAGGCGCUGGGAUAUUCAAAGGGGUGCGUGCCUUUCUGUAGCGCUCAGAUGUCUGUCGGUCCCGUGAGCAGUAUCAUCUUGCUUUACUCCGCGAACCCCAGGAGAUUUCAGCCCCUUCGCUGCAGCAUCACUGCCAUAGUCAUAGACUCUGAGCUUUUCCUUGGCUGACCGGAUGCCUCCCGAAAAAGUUUAGGAGAUGAAAUCCAAACUGUGACUUCAGCCCCCAGUAGGGGGACAUGGAAGAUAGUUGAGUUCCAGAGGGCACAGAGCCAUACUUAUUGAACUUAUUGAUAAAGCCACCAUGGGUUACCACACAACAUAACACGGAAGGCUACCUGUGUGUGUUACACAGUGGUCACUUGUGUGUCCCCUUUCAAUACAUGCCAACUCCAACUGGAUUUGUAAAAAAAAAAAAGAAAAAAGAAAAAAAAGACCAUUAAAUCAAAUGUAUCCUUUUUGAAUAUA